Long non-coding RNA from Daphnia pulex (common water flea), 605 nucleotides. RefSeq lists it as uncharacterized. NCBI's taxonomy places the organism in Eukaryota, Metazoa, Arthropoda, Branchiopoda, Diplostraca, Daphniidae. The transcript is spliced from 5 exons. The record is from RefSeq and is a predicted model, not a curated record.
AAUGAAAAUUCAAGCUCGUGGAUCGUCUGCUGUUCCUGGCUUUCGUCAAUUUUCGCUUACCUUCAUCCUUCAUGACUGCACGUUAAAAUUUGGCAAUUCGGUUGCGUUUUCGCAUAUGUUUUUUUAAAAUCAACACAAGAAGCAUUAAACUGGAUUUGUUUGCCUGAUAAGAAAUUUUUUACACCAACUUCCUGCCUAUUGACAAAUUGUGAAGAAAGAGCUAAAAGAAAAGAAGGUAAUUCUGCCAGUUAUUAUAUAAAAAACAGGAAAAGAAAUCAUGUUUGGUUAAGUAAGGAGAUUUUCUACUGUGUCAUCCUCAUCGGAACAAAUUUCCUGUUGCAAUUGUAAUUCGGGGUUGUAACUAAGUAAUUGGAGCCUUGGAGGUGAUGAUGGCAAACUACAACCACUGAAUGUAUCAGGGAUCACCAAAGUGAAUCAUCAUUUGGUAUUGUUUGCUGUCAUUGACAUGGUCCCUUCCCCCACGAAAUGAACUUGGUGUUGACAUCACAUUAUACAACCCCUUCACCCUGGAUCAUCUGGAUGCCUAGAAAACUAGAUCGGUGUUACUAUAUGUAAUGACAGAGAGGAUGCAGCCUAGAUGAGCA